GAUUAACGCUGGCGGCGUGCAUAACACAUGCAAGUCGAACGAUGAAACUUAAAUGAUUUCUUCGGAAUGAACUUAAGUGGAUUAGUGGCGGACGGGUGAGUAACGCGUGAGUAACCUGCCUUACACAAGGGGAUAGCCGUUGGAAACGACGAAUAAUACCCUAUGAAACUAUCACUUCGCAUGAAGCGAUAGUCAAAGUGUUAGCGGUGUAAGAUGGACUUGCGUCUGAUUAGCUAGUUGGUGAGAAAAAAGCCCACCAAGGCAACGAUCAGUAGCCGGCCUGAGAGAGUGUACGGCCACAUUGGGACUGAGACACGGCCCAGACUCCUACGGGAGGCAGCAGUGGGGAAUUUUGCACAAUGGGGGAAACCCUGAUGCAGCGACGCCGCGUGAUUUAGAAGGCCUUCGGGUUGUAAAAAUCUUUUGUAUAGGAAGAAAAUGACAGUACUAUACGAAUAAGGUCCGGCUAAUUACGUG
RNAcentral lists this ribosomal RNA (477 nucleotides) under uncultured bacterium. RNAcentral describes it as "partial 16S ribosomal RNA". It matches the Rfam family "Bacterial small subunit ribosomal RNA", at positions 28 to 507 of the family's 1533-position model. The record is from RNAcentral.